This 505-nucleotide ribosomal RNA is filed under the name uncultured bacterium. RNAcentral describes it as "partial 16S ribosomal RNA". It matches the Rfam family "Bacterial small subunit ribosomal RNA", at positions 28 to 507 of the family's 1533-position model. The record is from RNAcentral.
GACGAACGCUGGCGGCGUGCCUAAUACAUGCAAGUAGAACGCACAGUUUAUACCGUAGCUUGCUACACCAUAGACUGUGAGUUGCGAACGGGUGAGUAACGCGUAGGUAACCUGCCUGGUAGCGGGGGAUAACUAUUGGAAACGAUAGCUAAUACCGCAUAAUAUUAAUUAUUGCAUGAUAAUUAAUUGAAAGGUGCAAUUGCACCACUACCAGAUGGACCUGCGUUGUAUUAGCUAGUAGGUGAGGUAACGGCUCACCUAGGCGACGAUACAUAGCCGACCUGAGAGGGUGAUCGGCCACACUGGGACUGAGACACGGCCCAGACGCCUACGGGAGGCAGCAGUAGGGAAUCCUCGGCAAUGGACGAAAGUCUGACCGAGCAACGCCGCGUGAGUGAAGAAGGUUUUCGGAUCGUAAAGCUCUGUUGUAAGAGAAGAACGGGUGUGAGAGUGGAAAGUUCACACUGUGACGGUAUCUUACCAGAAAGGGACGGCUAACUACGUG